This 466-nucleotide ribosomal RNA is filed under the name uncultured bacterium. RNAcentral's name for it is "partial 16S ribosomal RNA". It matches the Rfam family "Bacterial small subunit ribosomal RNA", at positions 28 to 507 of the family's 1533-position model. The record is from RNAcentral.
GACGAACGCUGGCGGCGUGCUUAACACACGCAAGUCGAACGGAAAGGCCCUGCUUGCCGGGUACUCGAGUGGCGAACGGGUGAGUAACACGUGGGUGAUCUGCCCUGCACUUCGGGAUAAGCUUGGGAAACUGGGUCUAAUACCGGAUAGGAACCAUCUUUAGUGUGGUGGUUGGAAAGUUUUUUCGGUGUAGGAUGAGCUCGCGGCCUAUCAGCUUGUUGGUGGGGUAAUGGCCUACCAAGGCGGCGACGGGUAGCCGGCCUGAGAGGGUGUACGGCCACAUUGGGACUGAGAUACGGCCCAGACUCCUACGGGAGGCAGCAGUGGGGAAUAUUGCACAAUGGGCGCAAGCCUGAUGCAGCGACGCCGCGUGGGGGAUGAAGGCCUUCGGGUUGUAAACUCCUUUCGCUAGGGACGAAGCUUUGUUGUGACGGUACCUAGAUAAGAAGCACCGGCUAACUACGUG